UUUGACCUCGAAUCAGGUAGGGAU
RNAcentral lists this ribosomal RNA (24 nucleotides) under Dictyosporium stellatum. RNAcentral's name for it is "partial 28S ribosomal RNA". The record is from RNAcentral. Lineage: Eukaryota; Fungi; Ascomycota; Dothideomycetes; Pleosporales; Dictyosporiaceae.